GGGGGGAUGUGGGGGGGGGUGGCGUCCAUACCACCCGGCAGCAUUGUGGGACGGUCCGGGGGUUAUUCUGCAGAGCACAGUCCAAUGGCUGGUGUGCAGGUCCCCGGGGUCCCAAUGCCUUCUCCCAGGAUCUGCGGUCGGUCCUACACCCCUUUUCCUGUAUUUCUUCUCUACGGUCUCAUCCUCCCAGAGUGAAGCCCAGGCACGAUGCUCAGAGGCCCUUGGGUAAGUACCUCUCGUAGAAAUCAGCGAAUGACCCACUGUCGAGGGCUGGCGACUUGAGCCUUGUGGGACCCAGAAGUGCACAGGGGGCCACAGUAAGAAAUGGCCUCUCUUCUGGGGCCAGGCCACCCUGGGCACUUUCCUUCAUUUCACUGAUGCCCCUAGGAGCCUCCUCGUCCGUGGGGAGUCCGGGGCCCCUGUUCCUCAGCCCCAGAUGGCCCUCUCCGGUUUGUAUGAGGACAGGGCAGAACCCCAGCAGGUGAGCAGUGGGGGGACCCUUUGGGCAGGGUCUCUGGGGACAGGGACCCCUCAAUCUCGACAGCCCACCCAUCCAGACGGCUGCCUUCUGCGUGCUCCUCAGACACAGCCGCCCUGCCCUUCGGUAACGGUAACGGGGGAGCUGCCCAGAAACCACAGAGCGUAAUCAUAGCUGCAGGGCCCUUGAAAAAUGGCUGAGAAGGGCCGGCUCAACUCGCAGGUGUAGGAGGAAACGCAGACUCUUGACCUCGGAAGGCCUGUUCCUGCUAGGUUCCCUGGCCUCCUGUCCAAGGUGUCACCGGCUCACCAUCCCGUGGCCCCACCUUGUUUGAUUUUGAUGGGGAUAACCGGACACAGACACGCGGAGAAGGCCGUGUGAAAUGGACGCAGGGUUCGGAGCAAUGCAUCCCUGAGUCGAGGAACACUACAGCUUGCUGGAGCCACCAGAAGCUGGAAGAGGUAGGAAGGAUCCCCUCCUAGAGCUUUCAGACAGAGCACGGAACUGCCGACUCAAAGUCCUGCUGAGUCUGGACUUCUGGCCUUCAGAACUGACAGAGAAUACAUUUCUGUUGUGUUGAGC
This is a long non-coding RNA of Felis catus (domestic cat), 1060 nucleotides long. RefSeq lists it as uncharacterized. The transcript is spliced from 2 exons. Lineage: Eukaryota; Metazoa; Chordata; Mammalia; Carnivora; Felidae. The record is from RefSeq and is a predicted model, not a curated record.